Rattus rattus (black rat) is the source of this 261-nucleotide long non-coding RNA. RefSeq lists it as uncharacterized. The transcript is spliced from 3 exons. NCBI's taxonomy places the organism in Eukaryota, Metazoa, Chordata, Mammalia, Rodentia, Muridae. The record is from RefSeq and is a predicted model, not a curated record.
UGUAACCGAUGCAACUGUCAAUGGAAACAACAAAUGUAGAAGGAAAAGAAGAGUCGGGUCCUGCCUGGGGAAACAGCAGAAAGAAGACAGGAGAGAAUUCUAAUGUGAGGACACUGGAAUAAGAGAGACACAAUGGAGCCAGGUCUCAGAGAAGCUAAGUGACAAGGAGAGCUCAAGGGGGGAACAUGAGUCUCUCUUGGAAAGGCUUCUAUGAGUUGACUGGUCUGUGCUUGAUGAUGAUGAUGAUGAUGAUGAUGAUGA